RNAcentral lists this long non-coding RNA (200 nucleotides) under Carica papaya (papaya). RNAcentral describes it as "long non-coding RNA (CPAP_LNC008302)". Lineage: Eukaryota; Viridiplantae; Streptophyta; Magnoliopsida; Brassicales; Caricaceae. The record is from RNAcentral.
AGAGAUUUGUAAUAAUUUGCUCUACUGCAUAUAAUUUUAUCAUGCACUCGUAACCUAUUUCUGUAUCUGGCACCUUUAUGCCUUAAUUAACAUUUGGGAUGUCACAUAUUAUAUCAAAGCAGUUACGCGGAUCAAAUCCCUUACAACUAAGGUCGUAGGUAGAAAGACCCUUAGGAUAUCUAGGGAAAUAGAGUAAUCUU